This 797-nucleotide small RNA is filed under the name Pan troglodytes (chimpanzee). RNAcentral describes it as "processed transcript". The record is from RNAcentral. Lineage: Eukaryota; Metazoa; Chordata; Mammalia; Primates; Hominidae.
UGGGCUGGGCUGGACCGAAACUGGCGCGGAGCAACUGAGGCCCGAGCCUUCUCGGGACCCGGGGGACGCCUAACCCCGCGAGAUGAGGAAACUGAGGCCGCGAGGAGCGCGCACACAGCAGAGAAGCAGCAGAAUCGGGAAUCAAACCCAGCUCUGUCUGACCCCAGAGCCUGUGCCCUUAACCACUGGCUAGGCUGAACUGCCUUUGUUCUUCACUGUCCCCAUCACCUCUUUCAAACCUCAGCCUCUCCUUCCUCAUCGUUACAUCUCUAGGCUGCACCUGGUCUCUAAACAUUCACACAACCCCUGCAAAUUUUCUUCCUCAUAAUUGGGAGAAGACUCACUGGCCGAAUGGCAGCAGUAGAUGACUUGCGAUUUGAAGAAUUUGGCAAUGCAGCCACUUCUCUGACAGCAAACCCAGAUGCCACCACAGUAAACAUUGAGGAUCCUGGUGAAACCCCAAAACAUCAGCCAGGAUCCCCAAGAGGCUCAGGAAGAGAAGAAGAUGAUGAGUUACUGGGAAAUGAUGACUCUGACAAAACUGAGGUACAGUGUCAGGCAAUGACAGCUCAGAGGUAAAUGACACAUGGCCUCUUCCUUGGUGGGGGAAACAGGCAAACAGACCAUUAUUUUCCUUACUUGCUGGACAGAAGAAAAGCUCCCCCUUCUGGACAUUUGAAUACUACCAAACAUUCUUUGAUGUGGACACCUACCAGGUCUUUGACAGAAUUAAAGGAUCUCUUUUGCCAAUACCCGGGAAAAACUUUGUGAGGUUAUAUAUCCGCAGCAAUCCAGAU